CAUUAUAGUUUUUUUGAAUAUUAAAUAUUAUUAAUAUUAUAAUUACUUUUUUGAAUAAAGUAUUAUUUUUUUUAGUACACAAAAUAAAUUAUUUAGAGUAAUUAAAGUUUAUUGUAUAGAAAUAGAUUUAUUUAAAUUAAGUUAAAGGUAAGUUAAAUUUUUGUACCUUUUGUAUCAGGGUUUAAUAAAAAUUUUUUGUAUAAUUAAUUCUCGUAUAGUUAAGAUUUAAUUUUUUAUUAUUUUAAAUGUGGCAAAAUUUAAUUGGAUAAUAAAUUGGUAACGAAAAGUUAAUCGUUUAAUUAGGGUUCUAGUUUUUAGGUAAAUUAAUUUAAUUAAUUCUUUAAUAAUUAUUUAAUUUUAGGUUAAUUUUAUAUUUUAAAGAUUAAAUUAUAAAGAGUUUAUUUUUUAUAAAUUUUAUAUUUAAUAUUUAAAAAUUUUUUCUAGAUUUAAUAUUGAUAGUUGAUAAAUAGUUUUUUAUAAAAAAAAAUUAUUUUUAUUAAAUUUAUUUUUAAUUAAUUAUUUACUUAAAUAUUGUUUUUAAUUAAUAAAAUUAUGUAGUAAUAUUUAAAUUAGUAAAUUUUCAAAAUUAAAUAUAGGAAUUCGGCAAACAAAUUUUUUGCCUGUUUAUCAAAAACAUGUCUUUUUGUUUUUAUUUAAAGUCCAAUCUGCUCACUGAGUUUUAAAGAGCCGCAGUAUUUUAACUGUGCAAAGGUAGCAUAAUAAAUAGUUUUUUAAUUGAAAGCUGGAAUGAAAGAUUAGACAAAAAAAUAACUUUCUUUUUUGAAGUAAAUUGAAUUUAAAAUUUAAGUAAAAAUACUUAAAUGUAAUUAAAAGACGAGAAGACCCUAUAGAUUUUUAUUUACUAACAAUAUAUUAAAAAUUUUAUUUUAAGUAAAUUUAAUUGGGGCGAUUUUGUAAUAAAUUUAACUUAAUAUAUUAAAACCAUAAAUAAUUGAAUAUUUUGAUCUAAAUGUUUUAAAUAGUAGAUUAAAUUACCUUAGGGAUAACAGCGUAAUUUUAUUUAAGAGUUCAUAUCUAUAAUAAAGUUUGCGACCUCGAUGUUGAAUUAAGAAAUAUAUAGGAGCAGAAAUUUAUAAAUAUUAGUCUGUUCGACUAUUAAAUUCUUACAUGAUUUGAGUUCAGACCGGCGUGAGCCAGGUCAGUUUCUAUCUUUAAUUUUGUUUUAUAUGUAAGUACGAAAGGACAAUUUAUAAAUAAAAUUUAUUAAUAAUUG
This 1234-nucleotide ribosomal RNA is filed under the name Notolachesilla sp. GRA1sp1LA. RNAcentral describes it as "16S ribosomal RNA". The stretch from base 1003 to 1161 matches the Rfam family "Archaeal large subunit ribosomal RNA", at positions 2544 to 2703 of the family's 2987-position model. Lineage: Eukaryota; Metazoa; Arthropoda; Insecta; Psocodea; Lachesillidae. The record is from RNAcentral.